UGGGGAAUAUUGGACAAUGGGCGCAAGCCUGAUCCAGCCAUGCCGCGUGUGUGAAGAAGGCCUUUUGGUUGUAAAGCACUUUAAGCGAGGAGGAGGCUACUUGGAUUAAUACUCUAGGAUAGUGGACGUUACUCGCAGAAUAAGCACCGGCUAACUCUGUGCCAGCAGCCGCGGUAAUACAGAGGGUGCGAGCGUUAAUCGGAUUUACUGGGCGUAAAGCGUGCGUAGGCGGCUUUUUAAGUCGGAUGUGAAAUCCCUGAGCUUAACUUAGGAAGUGCAGUAGAUACUGGGGAGGUGGAGUAUGGGAGAGGGUGGUAGAAUUCCGGGUGUAGCGGGGAAAUGCGUAGAGGGCUGGAGGAAUACCGAUGGCGAAGGCAGCCAUCUGGCCUAAUACUGACGCUGAGGUACGAAAGCAUGGGGAGCAAACAGG
This 430-nucleotide ribosomal RNA is filed under the name Bacillota bacterium. RNAcentral describes it as "Firmicutes bacterium partial 16S ribosomal RNA". It matches the Rfam family "Bacterial small subunit ribosomal RNA", at positions 355 to 776 of the family's 1533-position model. Lineage: Bacteria; Bacillati; Bacillota. The record is from RNAcentral.